GACGAACGCUGGCGGCGUGCUUAACACAUGCAAGUCGAACGGAAAGGCCCUGCUUUUGUGGGGUGCUCGAGUGGCGAACGGGUGAGUAACACGUGAGUAACCUGCCCUUGACUUUGGGAUAACUUCAGGAAACUGGGGCUAAUACCGGAUAGGAGCUCCUGCUGCAUGGUGGGGGUUGGAAAGUUUCGGCGGUUGGGGAUGGACUCGCGGCUUAUCAGCUUGUUGGUGGGGUAGUGGCUUACCAAGGCUUUGACGGGUAGCCGGCCUGAGAGGGUGACCGGCCACAUUGGGACUGAGAUACGGCCCAGACUCCUACGGGAGGCAGCAGUGGGGAAUAUUGCACAAUGGGCGGAAGUCUGAUGCAGCAACGCCGCGUGCGGGAUGACGGCCUUCGGGUUGUAAACCGCUUUCGCCUGUGACGAAGCGUGAGUGACGGUAAUGGGUAAAGAAGCACCGGCUAACUACG
This 466-nucleotide ribosomal RNA is filed under the name uncultured bacterium. RNAcentral describes it as "partial 16S ribosomal RNA". It matches the Rfam family "Bacterial small subunit ribosomal RNA", at positions 28 to 505 of the family's 1533-position model. The record is from RNAcentral.